RNAcentral lists this ribosomal RNA (390 nucleotides) under uncultured microorganism. Its description in RNAcentral is "bacterial SSU rRNA". It matches the Rfam family "Archaeal small subunit ribosomal RNA", at positions 330 to 720 of the family's 1478-position model. The record is from RNAcentral.
GCGCAGCAGUCGAGAAAACUUCACACUGUGCGAAAGCACGAUGAGGGAAUCCCAAGUGCUUGCACGUAAGUGUAAGCUGUUUCUCUGUCUAAAACGCAGAGAGAGUAAGGGCUGGGUAAGACGGGUGCCAGCCGCCGCGGUAAUACCUGCAGCUCAAGUGGUGACCGUUAUUAUUGGGCCUAAAACGUCCGUAGCCGGUUUAAUAAAUGCCUGGGUAAAUUGUGUAGCUUAACUAUACGAAUUCCGGGUAGACUGUUAAACUUGAGACCGGGAGAAGUUAGAGGUACUCCUGGGGUAGAGGUGAAAAUUCUGUAAUCCUAGGGGGACCACCAGUGGCGAAGGCGUCUAACUAGAACGGGUCUGACGGUGAGGGACGAAGCCCUGGGGCGC